This 996-nucleotide ribosomal RNA is filed under the name Campylobacter jejuni. RNAcentral describes it as "partial 23S ribosomal RNA". It matches the Rfam family "Bacterial large subunit ribosomal RNA", at positions 1 to 1011 of the family's 2925-position model. The record is from RNAcentral. Lineage: Bacteria; Pseudomonadati; Campylobacterota; Epsilonproteobacteria; Campylobacterales; Campylobacteraceae.
AAAAAAGGUAAGCUACUAAGAGCGAAUGGUGGAUGCCUUGACUGGUAAAGGCGAUGAAGGACGUACUAGACUGCGAUAAGCUACGGGGAGCUGUCAAGAAGCUUUGAUCCGUAGAUUUCCGAAUGGGGCAACCCAAUGUAUAGAGAUAUACAUUACCUAUAUAGGAGCGAACGAGGGGAAUUGAAACAUCUUAGUACUCUCAGGAAAAGAAAUCAAUAGAGAUUGCGUCAGUAGCGGCGAGCGAAAGCGCAAGAGGGCAAACCCAGUGCUUGCACUGGGGGUUGUAGGACUGCAAUGUGCAAGAGGUAAGUUUAGCAGAACAUUCUGGAAAGUAUAACCAUAGAGGGUGAUAGUCCCGUAUGCGAAAAACAAACCUUAGCUAGCAGUAUCCUGAGUAGGGCGGGACACGAGGAAUCCUGUCUGAAUCCGGGUCGACCACGAUCCAACCCUAAAUACUAAUACCAGAUCGAUAGUGCACAAGUACCGUGAGGGAAAGGUGAAAAGAACUGAGGUGAUCAGAGUGAAAUAGAACCUGAAACCAUUUGCUUACAAUCAUUCAGAGCCCUAUGUAGCAAUACAGGGUGAUGGACUGCCUUUUGCAUAAUGAGCCUGCGAGUUGUGGUGUCUGGCAAGGUUAAGCAAACGCGAAGCCGUAGCGAAAGCGAGUCUGAAUAGGGCGCUUAGUCAGAUGCUGCAGACCCGAAACGAAGUGAUCUAUCCAUGAGCAAGUUGAAGCUAGUGUAAGAACUAGUGGAGGACUGAACCCAUAGGCGUUGAAAAGCCCCGGGAUGACUUGUGGAUAGGGGUGAAAGGCCAAUCAAACUUCGUGAUAGCUGGUUCUCUCCGAAAUAUAUUUAGGUAUAGCGUUGUGUCGUAAUAUAAGGGGGUAGAGCACUGAAUGGGCUAGGGCAUACACCAAUGUACCAAACCCUAUCAAACUCCGAAUACCUUAUAUGUAAUCACAGCAGUCAGGCGGCGAGUGAUAAAAUCCGUCGU